AAUUACUUAUUUAACUCUAAAAAUUUCAAAAAUAUCUAAUUUAUUUUUAUUUUUUUUCUUUCUAAUAUACUCUACAUUUAUUCAAAAAUAUUCUUCUGUUAUUCAAAAAUACCUCCGCAGUUACCAUCUGUUAAGUUAUCUCGAAUUAAACGUGAAUAAAAAAUAAAUUAAAAUAUAUAUUUUGUCCUUAACUUAAGGGCAAAUAAGAAAAGUUGGUGAUGAUAGGAGGGUAUAUUUGAAAAGACCAAAAAUCAAAAUACUUUUUUUAUCCCUAAUUUAAGGGUAAAUAAGAAAAGGCUGGUGAUGGUAGAAUGGUAUAUUAGAAAGGGUAAAAUAGUAAUUUCACAGGGAUAACGACUAUUGCUAAUCGUUCACUAAUAGAAUUUAAUUUUAUGGGUAUAUUUAAAAUAAUUUAGAACGUAAAAAGGAUAUUUUUAAUAUUAGUUUUCUAGGAGAGAAAAAUCAUAAAGUCGAAAAUUUUUCAGAGAUAUAUAAGUAAUUGCCCGAGAGUUUGUCCCUGCC
RNAcentral lists this long non-coding RNA (522 nucleotides) under Ananas comosus (pineapple). Its description in RNAcentral is "long non-coding RNA (ACOM_LNC000658)". The record is from RNAcentral. Lineage: Eukaryota; Viridiplantae; Streptophyta; Magnoliopsida; Poales; Bromeliaceae.